This 76-nucleotide ribosomal RNA is filed under the name Ligilactobacillus salivarius. RNAcentral's name for it is "partial 16S ribosomal RNA". It matches the Rfam family "Bacterial small subunit ribosomal RNA", at positions 1458 to 1533 of the family's 1533-position model. Lineage: Bacteria; Bacillati; Bacillota; Bacilli; Lactobacillales; Lactobacillaceae. The record is from RNAcentral.
UAAGGUGGGACAGAUGAUUGGGGUGAAGUCGUAACAAGGUAGCCGUAGGAGAACCUGCGGCUGGAUCACCUCCUUU